Long non-coding RNA from Peromyscus californicus insignis, 8404 nucleotides. RefSeq lists it as uncharacterized. The record is from RefSeq and is a predicted model, not a curated record. Lineage: Eukaryota; Metazoa; Chordata; Mammalia; Rodentia; Cricetidae. The transcript has 7 exons.
CAUAAGGUCCGGCGCUGCCCUGCCCUGCCCUGCCCUGCCCUGCCCUGCGUUGCGUUGCGCUGCCCGACCUCGGUUUCCGAAAGAAUGCGCACACGCGGGGGUCCUCUCGUUCCCCAGGGGCCUGGCGCACAUCCAGAGCGCACACCCAUCUUAGUGCUCAAAAGACCCGGGGAUCCCUAGGGCCGAGCGGUGGUGCCUCUUGGACCGCGUGUGACCUGUGGUCUGCGGGUUCACAACCCGGUUCAGAGCUGCCCUCCCCCAGCCAAGACCCCACCGGCUAAAGCCACGCGGCUGGUGAGCAGGCCUGAAAGGGCACCGUGUGACCUUAGGUAGGGCAUGUGGCUCCGCGGCAAGAGAGUAAAAGUCACCCUCCUCAGCCGGCUGUUUCUCGGAGUUCACGGGGGAGGUCAGUUUCCCAGCAUGACACAGCACGGGUGUGGGUGGCCCGGCUGCCUUCCUUGCCUUUCCCUCACAACCCGUCCCCUCUCCCUCUUAAGCCAGGUUGGCGGUUCUAUGCGUUGUUCAGAAGCAGUUUUGAAUGCUUGGGUCUUGGCUGUUUUCCACACUCUGGCCCGUGCAAGCUUGUGAAGGUCGCGCGGGCGCACACAAACGGGGGUGCGGUGAGGGGGGGGGGGCGCGCAUCAGUACUGUAUGUUGUGUUGCAGCAACGUGGGAGCCCUUUCCACAGCAAAAAGCAGGAGGGGCUGCCUAGCUUCAGCUAAUAGGAAGUUGUUAAUGACAGUGAGUCUCUACCGUGGGAUGUGGCAGGUGCAGCCUCUGGUACCACCCAUCAGCUGCAGGUCCUCUAGAUGUUGAGAAAGCUGCACCUGUGUAAACACACACAACUUUGCCCCUAAGGAACAGACACAUCACUCACUCACAGGAAACUUGGCCCUAUGGAGCAGACUUGUCAGUCACUUUCAGGAAGCUGGCAUGAUGGGACAGGCUGCAGCUCAGACCCUUCACCCACACGCCAGCACCAUGCGUCUGUCUUUUGAGUCUGGAGAUGUAUUCCAGUCCCUUUGUCUCUGGCCAUUUUGAUUGUCCUUACAGACUCCCUAAGGAUUCUGUUGUUAUAGUCCUUAUGGGCAGGCCUGGAGCUUCUAAUAUUUUGUGGAUUUCUGUGUCACUUGCCUCUGGUGUGGAAAGGGGCUAGUGAUGUCUUCAGACAGUUGCUCUGUUACCAACUAUUCACUUGGUUGCUUCUUCUGCUUACUCAAGCCAGUCCUCACAAAGCCUAACUCCUGCGGCCACUUGGCCAUCUCAUCUCCACUGGGACAAAGCAAACUGUGGUCCUAAACCAUGAUAUCUGCUGUGGUACACAGACCAAGGUGCCCUGCAGACCAUGAAGGAUACCCAUCCUGUGCUCUGUUUCCUUGGGGUCCCAUGGGGGCUGCCACAGGCUCUAAUGGACUCAUGAACAAUUUGCCCUCAUAUCCAGUGAAUGAAACUUCCAUAGGGUGAUGGUAGAGAUAAGUUUGAACUAAGACUCUUGGAGAUGCACCCUGACUACCAAAAGUGAUAUCCAACUAUUCUAAGGCCUGCUAGUUUCUCUAUGCAUACUGGAAAUGGAAGAUCAGGAGCCCCUUCUCUGGCCCUGAGGAUGAGUGGUGUUGCUAGGGAGAUGACUUUGAAACAGAGCUCCUGGGUGCUUCACUGUACCACUUCAUGUUAAUCAUUACAGACUCGCUGAUUGCAGGUGCUUCCAGCUACUGAGAACCCACCUGGAGACCAUGCACGGUGAGUCAGCCACUGCCUUUAUCUAUAUCCCUGCACUCUUUGUGGGAUAAUAUCAAUAAUCACUCUGACUUGUGUGGUGAUUGUUAGUUUUUCGGCUGCGUUGUGUGCUUACCCUGCAAGGAAAUGCCACGAAACACGACAGAAUCCGCUAACAAGAGUUUUAUUAAAGGGACAGAGAGUGAACAGGCCUGUGGGAAACACGUGUGUGGAGAAGAAGAAGGAAGAGGAAGAAGAAGGAACUGGGAACAUGGCGCCGGAUUUUAAAGGCUGGGCGUGGACAGAUCAGCGUCACUACUACACGCAAGCGCGUAGAUCACAUGGCCACGUUGGCGCCUACGUAGCCAAUGGAACGUCACGGAUCUUGGUCACAGCGAGAUGCCCUGACCCGGAAAUGGCUAUCCUGACCUGGAACUGGCUAGGUAGAAGUGUCUGUUGGGCAUAUGCGAACACGCCUGACCGUGGGGGCGUGUUGUAAACCUUUCAGUGAUAUAUUGUGGACCCUAAUAAACUUGCCUGGGAAUCAGAAGACAGAGCCAGCCAUUAGAUUAGACAUAGAGGUAAGGCGGUGGUGGCACACACCUUUAAUCCUAUCACCCGGGAGGCAGAGAUCACUCUGGGUCUCUGUGAGUUCCAGGCCACAUUGGCCAACAUGAGAUUGAUCCAGCAUAGGAGAGAAACAGAGCCAGGCAGUGGUGGCACACACCUUUAAUCCCAGCACUUGAGAUCUCAUGCCUUUGCUUGGGAAGCACACACACCUUUAAUCCCAGAAAGUAAUAUGGCAGGGGAAAGAAAGGUAUAUAAAGUGUAAGGAAACAGGAACUCACUCUCUUUAGACUGAGGAUUUCAUAGAGGUAAGAACUAGUGGCUGGCUGUUCUGUUCUCUCAUCUUUCAGCUUCACCCUGAUAUCUGGCUCUGUUUUUUUUUUUUAUUUUUUUAUUAAAAGACCAUCUAAGAUUCGAACAACAGGCUUGUAUUAUUAAAAUGGAGUAGAUAAGGAGAUAUAUCAGUUAUUUUAAUGCAAGCUUAUCCCAUGUUCACUGUAGACAUUCAGCAAAUAUAAUCAUAUCUGGAGCCAAGGUAACGACCCAGCCAGUCAAAUGCUUGCUGUACAGGAAUAUGAGCCAGAGUCUAAUCCCCAGAACCCACAUAAAGGGCCACAUGUGCAGCAGCACAUGUCUGUAGCCCCGGUACUAGGGAGACAGAGAGGACCCUUGGACCUGGGUGUCUGGAUAGACUAGCCAAAAAGUGAGCUCUGAGUUCAGAGAGACCUUGUCUCAAAAAAAGGGAAGAGCAAUUGAAGAAGACUCCUGAUAUCCACCUCUGGUCUCCACACACAUCAACUUUCAUCCCACCACCGAGCAAAAGCUGCUGGGCCUCUUGCUGAUCCCAGAACUUGCCUGUUUAGCUAAGCAGGCUGACUGAUGAACUUCAGGGAUCAGCCUCUUUCGCCUCCCAGGACUGAGAUUAUAGAGGUCAACUGUUGCACUUCCAGUGUUGGCUCUUACGUCAUGUAAAGACAGCCUGCGAGGGAAAGCUGGCCACUAGAGAUGCCAAAGAGAAAAUGAGAAGCUGGAAAGAGCUUCCUCCGGGAGAAAAGGUGGAGCCCCUGACCUGCUAAGGAGCCUACGCCCAGACUCCACUCUUGCCCUUGGCAGCACCACUGGGCUUGGUUCAGAGAGGUCCGUGCAGCCCAAGUGUGUCCAGGACAAGGCCACCCAAUCAUCCACAAAGCUGGAGCUGGAAGGACCCAGGUUAGUCACCUGUUAAAUGGGAUGAUGGACAUUGCCUCCCACUAAUAACUGUAAUAGAUGCUGGCAGGAAAACAGGAAAGACUUGGUCAUUAACCCAAACUGAAUGUUGCAAGCUUCAGGAGCUGAGGUCAGAGUCAACCCUACAUUGAAUGAAAGAGGAGAGAGACUCUGGAGCUGAGCAUGAAGACAGUGUGAAGCAAACCCAGGGCCGCUAGAUACCACAUACCUGUGUCUUCCCUGGGCCACAGCCUCCCGUGAAGCCUUAACUCUCCUAAGGAUUUUCCACAGGGCCUACUCCGGUACAUCCAGCCACAUGUUCGCUGAAAAGCAUCCCGCAAAGAAACAGAAGGCCCCAUGACAGAAAGGAACUUUGUUUGAAAGCAGGGACUCUGCCAAGAUCAUUCAAGCAGACUGAGGUCAUUGGGGGGAGCCCUAAUGCAAUCUGACUGGUGUCUUUGUAAGAUGAAGACCAGGCGGACCAAGGCACCAAGGUGAGAGGUGGGCAAGUCCUCCCUCAACCCCGCAGGCCCGCCUGCUGCACCCACUUGCAGUCCCCACCCAGCAGCUGUGGUUGGACUUGGCCUAUGGCUGUGGAUGCUCUGAUUGUGUGCUGCUGUGGCAGACCUUGUUGGUCGGCUUAGAGAUAGGUGGUCCGUCAUUUAAGCAGAUAACAACAGUCUCACACCCAGCACUACUGGGGGGGGGGGGGGUCAGACAUGCCCCUGGUGAUGCUGGUUGGGAGGGAACUAUGUAAGUUUUCUCCAUGUUUGAGAGCUGAUACUAUGGACAUGUGGGCCCUCAUGGCUCCUGACUCACAGGAGGGGAGGCAAGGAAGAGGAAAGAAGCAAGAACUGGGGAACGGCUGGCCCAGAGGGCUGUCCAGAAAAAGCUGGAACCCUUACCCCCAUGGAGCAAGACAACAUGCUAUGCCUUGGCACCCCAGAAGACCCUAACUGUAUACCAGAAUUGCCAGAAGGCCUUUGUGACCACUAGUAUAUGGGAGCCGGGGAGCUUGCAGUACCCUCAAGCUCCUGAGAGACACAUCCAGAAUUGUGCGGGGCUGCUGUGCAUGGGUCUUAGGUCGUACUGAUAAGCCAAACCCAUCCUUUCUGCUGCCCAGGGUGACCCAGAGAACCACAGUUCUCAGAAGAAGCUGCACACACCCAAUGACCCUUCAGAUGGCUUGGCCUUGGCAGAGUAGAACAUUGUGAUUAUGGAGAGCUGGAGUGUUAUAGGUCAAAAGCCAAAAUGAUCGUGAAAAGACAGACAUAUGAUUUCAACCUCUAAGUGUCACCCAAUGCCUUGUGACUUCCAUAAAACCUUUGGAAUGUGUGCUUAAGCCUGACACACCCACCCUCUACCAAUGCAAUGGCUGUGAAUGCCGCAGACACGCUCUGACACGCUCCUGUGACACUCCCCUCCCCACCUUGUGUGACAGCCUUCCCCAUGACCCUGCCUGUGUAUUGUGUAAACACAUUGAUUCAUGGUGUUCUAUUUUUGUGACCAUGAAAGUUCAGGAGACCUUCACUGUGGGGAGACAUGUCAUGCUGGCUGAAUUCCUGAGCCAUAGCCAUUGGUGUUUGGAGAAGGAUGAACUAUUUCCUUAUUUACUCAAAGCAGAGUUUAUGUUUUUAUGUCAACAACCCAGUAUUUGGAGCUCAGUGCCUCAGUUUCCUCUGCUGCUCUAUUUCCCUGAACAAAGCAAACAGCAUUACAAGGAUGCAGGGGAGGAUGCUGAGUUAGCUCAGUGGUCUCUGCCUGGGUCCUUCCUUACCUGUGAUGUCAGCAUUCCUGCCUCCUCUGGGACCUAAUGCCUGCUGGCCUGAGCAGUUGUCCCAGCCCUGGGGAAAGUGAUCAUCCCCCAACUUCAUGUGGAACUGAGGCUCAGGCUUGAUGCCAGAAAAAAGGAUGGGGAAGCCCAGAAAGAGUCCCAAAUGAGUAAGAGGGGCAUUCAUCCUGAUGAGAAGGAUGAGAGGUGUCUGGUUGCUGAAGAGACCUGUGAGGAAGUUCACUGGCCUGACAUGGGAGCAGCACGUGGUCUGGGAAGAUCAUGUAGUGUUGACUUUAGUGGAAUUACCUUGAGCUGCCCUCUAGGAAGGACCUGGUUGCAGUCUGGACACGACCAGGGACCUUUGUCCUGGGCUUGCCUAUCUCUCCACAUCACCUGGGGAAUCACCACUUCGGAAACAAAACCAAGACCUGAAAGUCCUGGUGGAAUUUACGGUGAACCCACCGCAGCUUCACUCUGGGCAUCCCUUCACGCUGUGGCGGACACCCUGACGACAGGCAACAGAGCACUGGGGAAGCACGUGGUGGGCUUGCAGUUCCCACGUUACAGCUCAUCGUUUUGAGGAAGUCAAGGCAGGAACUCAAGCAGCUGGUCACCUCACAAGCGCAGGCAGAGCCGGGAGACCAACCGCGUCCUCGCUUGCUCAGCUGGCUCUCUUCACUCUCACGCAGGCCAGGGCCCAGCUCCUGAAAUGAUGCCACCCACAUUCAGGGUGGCUCUCCUCACCUCAAUUAACAAUCAAGACAAUCCCCCACAGACCUGCCCACAGGCCAAGCUGAUCUAAAUAACUCCUCAUUAAGACACUCCUCCCAGGCGACCGUACGGUGUGCCAACCUGACACAGAUUUUCCAAGAAAAGAGGUGGUGUUCGGCAGGUGCGGUCCACUUUCCUGUCUGGCUUAGAGCCUUGUGGUGCCAGGCUUAUGGUUUGGGAAAUGGAGGGCUCGGCAGUCCUCCAAGAAUGUUCUGGGGUGUCGUGGCUCCAGAACCUCACUGACACAAGUGGGUGUCAGUUUAGAAGGGGCUGGGGCUGCUGUGGGUAGGGUGGGGCGAGACUCCCAGUCUUCGCAGAGAACAGUGCCUUCUUGGGUUUCGCAGUGGAGUGCGAUGAGUCUUGCUGCUGUGGGAGGAAGUCAGGCAGGCGAGAUGCUGGGAUGCUCCACUGUGGCUGCUCCACUGUGGCUGCUCCACUGUGGCUGCUCCACUGUGGCUGCUCCACUGUGGCUGCUCCACUGUGGCUGCUCCACUGUGGCUGCUCGUCUACUCUCCCUGGGAGUGGCAGGGUGAGUGUGUGUAGACCCAGGCCUGGAGAGCUUGGUUUUGGAGGUAGCCCGUAGACAGGAACCACAGGGCUGUGGGAGCUAAGGGGUGAUGCACCCCCCUCGGGUAUGCCAGUUGGGAAAGGCACAGCAACCGUGCUGCUCUGAGCCCAGUGCACAAGCCAGCUGAGGCACCUGCCACGCCCCCAUGUCCUCCUCACCCUGACUCUGGGAAACUACAUGUGUGGCUAGAGCACAGGGCCACAAGGGGUGAGGGUGGCUGGCAGAUGUAACGGGAGAGGUGUGCACACGGGUGGCACCUGGCCCAGGGCACAUGGCUUUCGAUCUGUCUUUCAUAUACCUGCUCCCCAAAUCUGCCAUGUCACAUCUGGUGCCCAGUCUUGAGUCAUCCUUUUGAGGCUAGAAGGGCCACAGAGGAGCAGGCGCCUAUCAACAGCGGGAGCUCUUGGCUCUGAGCUGCGAGAAGGAGCAAGAGACCCACGGCACCUAAAGGCGUAGCCCCUGCGGACCCCACAUCCUGUGGGAGGCAGAGUCUGGGUGAGAUCAGCCUUCCUGCUGGGGCUGGGCCUCCUCUCAGUUUCUUCGCCCUCAUCCCUCGCUGAACCCCUCUUGAGAUCAUCGUCACCCUCGGUUGCUGCCCUGCCAUCUGGUAGCCCUUGGACCAGAUGUCACUGUCUCAUUUGCUUCCCCAGGGGUCUCACUGGACACAUGGGUCACUCCCUUGCUGUUGACCUCCUGUGGGCUCUGAGCUUUGCUCCCGAUGGCUGAGGGCCACGCACAGGUGACUUGCUGACUUGUGUCCAUUUCAGGAUAUCAGGCUCAUGCUCAUCAUUUUCUUCAGGGUCAUUCACAGAUGCCAUAGCCUCAUCUUCUUCAGGAUCAAUGGUGCAGUGGGCAGAAGCUUGGUCGGAAGUGUGAGAUGUCACCUGGGUACAUGUACUGGUACCUCAGAGCUCUGCAGGAAGCAAAACUGGCAGGAUGUGGAGAGGUGAUUUAUACACACAUGUGCACACACUCGUGCAGACUCACACACAGUUGCAUAAUGCUCACACAUGUGUGUGCACAUGCAUGCACAUGCACACAUACACACUCACAUCCUCAGACACAUGUGUGCACACACUCAUGCAUGUUCACACAUACACAUGGACAUACUAACUCACAUGUGUGCACACAGAUGUGUGAACACAUGCAUACAGGAGCAUGCACACAUGUGUACACACUCACAUGUACACACAAUUCAUACAUGUGCAUACAUGUACAUGGGAGCAUACACCCACAAAUGUGUACUCAUUUGUACACAAUCAAAUUUAUACACACAUGUUAAUGUAUAUGUACUCACACUCAUGUGUUCACACACAUGCAUAUAUACACAUGUGCACAUACAUAUACAUACACCCAGAUGUACACAAGCCUGCACAUAUAUGUAUAUACAAUACAUGUACACACAUAUGCUCACACACAUACACACAUACAUGCACACACAUUUACAUAUCAUGUAAUGAUGUUUUGGCCAGCAACAUACCACAUGUAUGACCAUAGUAAUGAGCUGAAAAAUUCCUAUCCUCUAGUGACAGCCAUCAUGUCCUAGCCCGGCGCAUGCUUUGUGUGUCUGGGGUGCUGUGGGAUGCAUCCUACUCUGCCGUAAGUCAUACAGUCCAGCCCACAUCAUAGAGCAGUGCGCUGUGCUCAGCGGCGACUCUGGGUGGCGGUGGGGCUGCUGUCUUCACUGAUGACACUGUUUUUUUGCUAUUUUACAGGGUGCCCAUUCUCUUUAUAAUAAAAGGAUAUAUAAUAUUUAUAUAUGCGAGUAUAAUAUAUAAAAUAAAAAGUGUGUGUGGUCACGA